RNAcentral lists this ribosomal RNA (192 nucleotides) under uncultured bacterium. RNAcentral's name for it is "partial 16S ribosomal RNA". It matches the Rfam family "Bacterial small subunit ribosomal RNA", at positions 1311 to 1500 of the family's 1533-position model. The record is from RNAcentral.
CUCGCCUACAUGAAGCUGGAGUUGCUAGUAAUCGCGAAUCAGCAUGUCGCGGUGAAUACGUUCCCGGGCCUUGUACACACCGCCCGUCACACCAUGAGAGUUGGCAAUACCCAACGUACGUGAUCUAACCCGCAAGGGAGGAAGCGUCCUAAGGUAGGGUCAGCGAUUGGGGUGAAGUCGUAACAAGGUAUC